CGGACGCAGACGCACACCUCCCAACACGUCCAGUCCACCCCGACCCGAUCCUCCGCGCACGCCAGACAGAGGUGGGCGAGCACUACUACACAGUACACACACACAUCCACGCUCACUACAAGAGCCAGCCACGCACGCGACCGCGCCCAAGACACGACGACCAACCAAGGGAGAGGGCGGCGACGAGGGCGCACGACGGCACGCCGAACGCUCUCGCAAUGCAUCACGCCAAGACCGACUCGGAGGUGACGUCGAGCAUGGCGCCGUCGUCGCCGCCGCGGGCGCCCUACUACGUGCAGUCGCCCAGCCACGACGACGGCGAGAACCACUCCAAGACGGCCGCCUCCUCCUUCCACUCUUCCCCGGCCGCGUCCCCGCCGCGCUCGCUCGGGAACCACUCCAGGGAGUCCUCCUCCUCCCGCUUCUCCGGCAAGGUCCCCUCCGCAGGCUCCUCCCGCCGCGGCGUCGUCGGCGGAGGCGGGAAGCGCGGCGGGGGUGGCGGCGGCGGCGAGGCGGCGCGCCGCAGCCCCUGGAUGAAGGAGGCGGCCAUCGAGGAGGAGGGGCUCCUCAUGGAGGACGACGACGACGCCGACGGCCGCGCCGGCGGCUUCUCCGCGCUCCCCAAGAAGGUGCGCUACGGGCUCGGCUUCGUCGGCGCCUUCCUCGUGCUCUUCACCUUCUUCGCCCUCAUCCUCUGGGGCGCCAGCCGCAACCAGAAGCCCGUCGUCUCCGUCAACAGCGUCACGUUCCACAACUUCGUGAUCCAGGCGGGGACGGACGCGUCGCUGGUGCCCACGGAGAUGUCCACGAUCAACGCCACGGUGAGGCUCACGUUCCGCAACACGGGGAGUUUCUUCGGCGUGCACGUCACGGCGCAGCCCGUCACGCUCUACUACUCCCAGCUCCUCAUGGCCUCCGGCGAUGUAAGCAUUCAUUCAUUCCCGCACGCGCAUCCUUAAUUCCUCAUACAGAUUUCUUUGAACGGUUUCAUCUGAUUGAUCGAUCGAAUGGUAAGCCUCAAGUUGGAGAACAACCGAGUCAAAUCUGGUAAAUGGCUGUGAAUUAAUCACAAUACGUACUGCAUUCAGGUCAUGCCUGAACGAUUGAUUUCUUGUUGAUAGAUACGUAAAAUUUUGUGCGGUGCAUUUACGUCAACAAGUAGUCUUAUGAACACACAUUUGCAUAUUGUAAGCCCAAAGAGAAAGUCAGUCUUGCUCUGUGGUUUCUAGAUGUGAACUUUGGACUACAGCUGCACUGCACAUGUCUUGACCAAAACAAAGGGUGUUAAUUUAGCCAUGGCAACGUCUGCUGAUAGCUACAAAAGCAGAGGCCACUGAACGCUGCUGAAAAACUCGAACAGGACAUCGUCAUCCCGAGUUGCUGUCAUCCAGUUCAUAUCCUUUAUUUCUUUCUUUUUCCGCGGGAAAUCCAGUUCAUAUUCUUUGUUUCUUUCUCUCUCUUUUCUCUGCGUGGAAAUCUCAUUCAUAUUCAACUCAAGUUGUAACCUUGGCCAAAAAACAAAAACUCAUCUAAUAAUAGUUGUGAAUCCUGAUCCAACGACUGUCUGUGGCAGAUGAAGUACUUCUACCAGCCUCGGAAGAGCCAGCGCAAGGUGGCGGUGACGGUGGUGGGCAGCAAGGUGCCGCUGUACGGCGGCGGCGCGGGGCUGAGCAGCACGCCGGGGCCCAAGGGCGUGCCCCCGCCGCCGGUGCCGCUGCAGCUGACGCUGAGGAUCAGGGCUCGGGCGCUGGUGCUGGGCAAGCUGGUGAAGCCCAGGUUCUACAACAACGUGCAGUGCAGCGUCCGCCUGGACACGACCAAGCUGGGCAAAGCCAUAUCCCUCAAGAAAUCCUGCACCCACGUCUAGGUCUAGCCACACGACCCGACCUCCCGCCACCGCCAUCUUUCUUUCUUCUUCUCGUUGCUUGCUGCGUAUGUUAUGCUAUGUGAUGUGAUGUAAUGCGUAGAUUACCAUGAGUACCAUUUUGACGGGAGAAAGCGGCAUGCCACUUGUGUAUGCACAGAUGAAUUUUGUCGCCUGCGUCGGGAUGGAAUGAAUGAAUGAUCACGCGUUUCUUGCCGCAUUUUUUCAUGGACGGUGACGGUGUGGGUGUGGUUGUGGCGUGGGUUUUGUGAUGUGUGCACAAGGCGUGGUUGCCGUGAAGCCGGUGUUGCUUCCGUUUUUGGUGUAGACUGGAUUAGCGGACGUUGCUGUCCCAUCACCGUCGCUGUAAACUGCUCCCAUAAACCGUGGAUUUUCCCCCUUUCUUUCUACACGGAGGUUUU
RNAcentral lists this ribosomal RNA (2286 nucleotides) under Triticum aestivum (bread wheat). RNAcentral's name for it is "partial small subunit ribosomal RNA". The record is from RNAcentral. Lineage: Eukaryota; Viridiplantae; Streptophyta; Magnoliopsida; Poales; Poaceae.